Molecule: ribosomal RNA, 557 nt
Filed under: uncultured bacterium
Lineage: Bacteria
Description: partial 16S ribosomal RNA
Rfam family: Bacterial small subunit ribosomal RNA
Source: RNAcentral
UAGGGAAUCUUCCACAAUGGACGCAAGUCUGAUGGAGCAACGCCGCGUGAGUGAAGAAGGUUUUCGGACCGUAAAGCUCUGUUGUUGGUGAAGAAGGAUAGAGGUAGUAACUGGCCUUUAUUUGACGGUAAUCAACCAGAAAGUCACGGCUAACUACGUGCCAGCAGCCGCGGUAAUACGUAGGUGGCAAGCGUUGUCCGGAUUUAUUGGGCGUAAAGCGAGCGCAGGCGGAAUGAAUAAGUCUGAUGUGAAAGCCCUCGGCUUAACCGAGGAAUUGCAUUGGAAACUGUUUUCUUGAGUGCAGAAGAGGAGAGUAGAACUCCAUGUGUAGCGGUGGAAAUGCGUAGAUAUAUGGAAGAAUACCAGUGGCGAAGGCGGCUCUCUGGUCUGCAACUGACGCUGAGGCUCGAAAGCAUGGGUAGCGAACAGGAUUAGAUACCCUGGUAGUCCAUGCCGUAAACGAUGAGUGCUAAGUGUUGGGAGGCUUCCGCCUCUCAGUGCUGCAGCUAACGCAUUAAGCACUCCGCCUGGGGGCAGUACGACCGCAAGGUUGAAAC